GGGUGAUUAGCUCAGCUGGGAGAGCACCUCCCUACAAGGAGGGUCGGCGGUUCGAUCCCGUCAUCACCCACCA
RNAcentral lists this transfer RNA (73 nucleotides) under Salmonella enterica. Its description in RNAcentral is "tRNA-Cys". It matches the Rfam family "tRNA". Rfam says of the family: Transfer RNA (tRNA) molecules are approximately 80 nucleotides in length. Their secondary structure includes four short double-helical elements and three loops (D, anti-codon, and T loops). The record is from RNAcentral. Lineage: Bacteria; Pseudomonadati; Pseudomonadota; Gammaproteobacteria; Enterobacterales; Enterobacteriaceae.